UGGUGAGGGCUGCUUACCAUGCAAGUCGAACGGCAGCACGGGUGCUUGCACCUGGUGGCGAGUGGCGAACGGGUGAGUAAUACAUCGGAACAUGUCCUGUAGUGGGGGAUAGCCCGGCGAAAGCCGGAUUAAUACCGCAUACGAUCUACGGAUGAAAGCGGGGGACCUUCGGGCCUCGCGCUAUAGGGUUGGCCGAUGGCUGAUUAGCUAGUUGGUGGGGUAAAGGCCUACCAAGGCGACGAUCAGUAGCUGGUCUGAGAGGACGACCAGCCACACUGGGACUGAGACACGGCCCAGACUCCUACGGGAGGCAGCAGUGGGGAAUUUUGGACAAUGGGCGAAAGCCUGAUCCAGCAAUGCCGCGUGUGUGAAGAAGGCCUUCGGGUUGUAAAGCACUUUUGUCCGGAAAGAAAUCCUUGGCUCUAAUACAGUCGGGGGAUGACGGUACCGGAAGAAUAAGCACCGGCUAACUACGUGCCAGCAGCGGCCGGUAAUA
This 496-nucleotide ribosomal RNA is filed under the name Burkholderia sp. HE55B. Its description in RNAcentral is "bacterial SSU rRNA". It matches the Rfam family "Bacterial small subunit ribosomal RNA", at positions 39 to 525 of the family's 1533-position model. The record is from RNAcentral. Lineage: Bacteria; Pseudomonadati; Pseudomonadota; Betaproteobacteria; Burkholderiales; Burkholderiaceae.